GGCAUUCAGACUUUAUCCCCUGAGUCACAGGGAACCAGACAGGACUUUGGAGCAAGGGAGUGGCAUGAUCAGAACUGCUCUUGAAACGCCCUUCUGGUGAGGACGUGAGAAAGGGGAGCCGCAGCUGGGAGGCAGACAUGUUUGGUCGAGUCGAUAGAACUUUUGGGAUGGAUCAUUUCCUAUUGGAAAGAGAAUGACAGUAGUGAGUCGCUGAAUGAAUAGCUUCUGCCCUGUCUUCAGAGGACUGCUGGGCCACACAGUCAGCCUUCUACAACAGAGCUGUCUUUGCAGGUGCUUUGGCAUCUAGCCAGGAAAAUUGCUCCCAUGCGAUAUAUCCACGUGUUCUUGGUUUUAUGGCUAAGAAGCUUCGGUGCAUCGAUGUGGAAAAACACUGAUUCAAGGAAGAAAAGAGCAUGUGUGUAUCUUGGAGUUGGUGGUACAGGAUGGUUUUGGGAAAAAUUAUCUUGAUCUGCAACUAAUGAGUUUUAAGACUGACCAAACUUUUCAGUGUGCGAUUGGUUGACUUGUUUGUUGAGUCGGGGGAGUGAAUCUUAACGUCACUCACAACACUGAAAUCUUACUGUGGAUUGAA
This is a long non-coding RNA of Hipposideros armiger (great roundleaf bat), 592 nucleotides long. RefSeq lists it as uncharacterized. The record is from RefSeq and is a predicted model, not a curated record. Lineage: Eukaryota; Metazoa; Chordata; Mammalia; Chiroptera; Hipposideridae. The transcript is spliced from 3 exons.